Molecule: ribosomal RNA, 1698 nt
Filed under: Staphylococcus aureus
Lineage: Bacteria; Bacillati; Bacillota; Bacilli; Caryophanales; Staphylococcaceae
Description: partial 23S ribosomal RNA
Rfam family: Bacterial large subunit ribosomal RNA
Source: RNAcentral
GCCAAUUAAUUUAACUUGGGAGUCAGAACAUGGGUGAUAAGGUCCGUGUUCGAAAGGGAAACAGCCCAGACCACCAGCUAAGGUCCCAAAAUAUAUGUUAAGUGGAAAAGGAUGUGGCGUUGCCCAGACAACUAGGAUGUUGGCUUAGAAGCAGCCAUCAUUUAAAGAGUGCGUAAUAGCUCACUAGUCGAGUGACACUGCGCCGAAAAUGUACCGGGGCUAAACAUAUUACCGAAGCUGUGGAUUGUCCUUUGGACAAUGGUAGGAGAGCGUUCUAAGGGCGUUGAAGCAUGAUCGUAAGGACAUGUGGAGCGCUUAGAAGUGAGAAUGCCGGUGUGAGUAGCGAAAGACGGGUGAGAAUCCCGUCCACCGAUUGACUAAGGUUUCCAGAGGAAGGCUCGUCCGCUCUGGGUUAGUCGGGUCCUAAGCUGAGGCCGACAGGCGUAGGCGAUGGAUAACAGGUUGAUAUUCCUGUACCACCUAUAAUCGUUUUAAUCGAUGGGGGGACGCAGUAGGAUAGGCGAAGCGUGCGAUUGGAUUGCACGUCUAAGCAGUAAGGCUGAGUAUUAGGCAAAUCCGGUACUCGUUAAGGCUGAGCUGUGAUGGGGAGAAGACAUUGUGUCUUCGAGUCGUUGAUUUCACACUGCCGAGAAAAGCCUCUAGAUAGAAAAUAGGUGCCCGUACCGCAAACCGACACAGGUAGUCAAGAUGAGAAUUCUAAGGUGAGCGAGCGAACUCUCGUUAAGGAACUCGGCAAAAUGACCCCGUAACUUCGGGAGAAGGGGUGCUCUUUAGGGUUAACGCCCAGAAGAGCCGCAGUGAAUAGGCCCAAGCGACUGUUUAUCAAAAACACAGGUCUCUGCUAAACCGUAAGGUGAUGUAUAGGGGCUGACGCCUGCCCGGUGCUGGAAGGUUAAGAGGAGUGGUUAGCUUCUGCGAAGCUACGAAUCGAAGCCCCAGUAAACGGCGGCCGUAACUAUAACGGUCCUAAGGUAGCGAAAUUCCUUGUCGGGUAAGUUCCGACCCGCACGAAAGGCGUAACGAUUUGGGCACUGUCUCAACGAGAGACUCGGUGAAAUCAUAGUACCUGUGAAGAUGCAGGUUACCCGCGACAGGACGGAAAGACCCCGUGGAGCUUUACUGUAGCCUGAUAUUGAAAUUCGGCACAGCUUGUACAGGAUAGGUAGGAGCCUUUGAAACGUGAGCGCUAGCUUACGUGGAGGCGCUGGUGGGAUACUACCCUAGCUGUGUUGGCUUUCUAACCCGCACCACUUAUCGUGGUGGGAGACAGUGUCAGGCGGGCAGUUUGACUGGGGCGGUCGCCUCCUAAAAGGUAACGGAGGCGCUCAAAGGUUCCCUCAGAAUGGUUGGAAAUCAUUCAUAGAGUGUAAAGGCAUAAGGGAGCUUGACUGCGAGACCUACAAGUCGAGCAGGGUCGAAAGACGGACUUAGUGAUCCGGUGGUUCCGCAUGGAAGGGCCAUCGCUCAACGGAUAAAAGCUACCCCGGGGAUAACAGGCUUAUCUCCCCCAAGAGUUCACAUCGACGGGGAGGUUUGGCACCUCGAUGUCGGCUCAUCGCAUCCUGGGGCUGUAGUCGGUCCCAAGGGUUGGGCUGUUCGCCCAUUAAAGCGGUACGCGAGCUGGGUUCAGAACGUCGUGAGACAGUUCGGUCCCUAUCCGUCGUGGGCGUAGGAAAU